RNAcentral lists this long non-coding RNA (686 nucleotides) under Heterocephalus glaber (naked mole-rat). Its description in RNAcentral is "lncRNA (ENSHGLG00000043399.1)". The record is from RNAcentral. Lineage: Eukaryota; Metazoa; Chordata; Mammalia; Rodentia; Bathyergidae.
CAGGGGUGGAGCAAGAGGAUCUGUGAAGGACGUGAAGCUUUGACCAGGCUGUGCGGCAGGCUGUAUUAUGAUUGGCUGGAGGCACUGUUCUGCUGCCUUCUCUGUGUCCUGUGACAUCACCUACGUGUCUCACCGUUAGCAGACUCUCUCAACCCCAGGUAAGUAGAGCUGCUGGUUGGCCAUAGCCUAGCCUCAGGAGGGUAGCUCUGAGGAGCAGCCCAUGACAGAAUUCCACUAAGGCGGAGAAAAAUUCGAACAGUACUCUUGGUGGCACUGGAGGCCCUCGGCAGCUGGUGAAAUAUCUGAGCCUUUCUUUCUGUCUAGAUCCAGGAACAGGAGGAGCCACACCCAACAGCUAUAAAGGCAGGAAGCAUCCACAAGACUGAAGCACAAAAACAUGAAAACCAAGUGUGUGUGCACAACGUUCCAACUAACCGUCAUGCAGAAGUCUGUUUCACACACAUCAGAUGCCUACAUGGUGUUAUAGACCUAUAAUCCCAGCUGUCUGGAGGCUGAGGCAGUAGGAUCUCAAGUUCUAGACCAGCCUGAGGCUACAUGGUGACCAGUCUCAAACAACCAAAGGAAAAUUUAAAAAAAACAUAUAUAUACUCUUUUCUAUUUUUCUCUUUCUUUUUAAUUUAAAAACCUUUUUCUCAUUUAUACAAGGAUAUAUAGGAUUUCAAAGG